Molecule: non-coding RNA, 71 nt
Organism: Danio rerio (zebrafish)
Lineage: Eukaryota; Metazoa; Chordata; Actinopteri; Cypriniformes; Danionidae
Source: Rfam
GCAUUGGUGGUUCAGUGGUAGAAUUCUCGCCUGCCACGCGGGAGACCCGGGUCCGAUUCCCGUCCAAUGCA